Molecule: ribosomal RNA, 468 nt
Filed under: uncultured bacterium
Lineage: Bacteria
Description: partial 16S ribosomal RNA
Rfam family: Bacterial small subunit ribosomal RNA
Source: RNAcentral
GACGAACGCUGGCGGCGUGCUUAACACAUGCAAGUCGAACGGAAAGGCCCUGCUUUUGUGGGGUGCUCGAGUGGCGAACGGGUGAGUAACACGUGAGUAACCUGCCCUUGACUUUGGGAUAACUUCAGGAAACUGGGGGUAAUACCGGAUAGGAGCUCCUGCUGCAUGGUGGGGGUUGGAAAGUUUCGGCGGUUGGGGAUGGACUCGCGGCUUAUCAGCUUGUUGGUGGGGUAGUGGCUUACCAAGGCUUUGACGGGUAGCCGGCCUGAGAGGGUGACCGGCAAAAUUGGGACUGAGAUACGGCCCAGACUCCUACGGGAGGCAGCAGUGGGGAAUAUUGCACAAUGGGCGGAAGCCUGAUGCAGCAACGCCGCGUGCGGGAUGACGGCCUUCGGGUUGUAAACCGCUUUCGCCUGUGACGAAGCGUGAGUGACGGUAAUGGGUAAAGAAGCACCGGCUAACUACGUG